RNAcentral lists this ribosomal RNA (181 nucleotides) under Vibrio parahaemolyticus. Its description in RNAcentral is "partial 16S ribosomal RNA". It matches the Rfam family "Bacterial small subunit ribosomal RNA", at positions 1 to 163 of the family's 1533-position model. Lineage: Bacteria; Pseudomonadati; Pseudomonadota; Gammaproteobacteria; Vibrionales; Vibrionaceae. The record is from RNAcentral.
UUAAAUUGAAGAGUUUGAUCAUGGCUCAGAUUGAACGCUGGCGGCAGGCCUAACACAUGCAAGUCGAGCGGAAACGAGUUAUCUGAACCUUCGGGGAACGAUAACGGCGUCGAGCGGCGGACGGGUGAGUAAUGCCUAGGAAAUUGCCCUGAUGUGGGGGAUAACCAUUGGAAACGAUGGC